Molecule: long non-coding RNA, 5167 nt
Filed under: Olea europaea subsp. europaea
Lineage: Eukaryota; Viridiplantae; Streptophyta; Magnoliopsida; Lamiales; Oleaceae
Source: RNAcentral
UCCCCUCGACGGCAAGCUACGUCCUUUGAAUCAUCAGAAAAUGAAUUUUGCUUUUAUAAUCAACCUCUAUCUAUCAAUUUAAAUAGUUUCAUUCAACUCAUUAAAUCAUUGGUCAAAGAACAGAGAUGAGGGUGAUUAGAUUUAGAAGCUCAAAUAUGUAACAAAAAUCUCUGCGAACAACUAUGUUCCUAGUUCAAUACUUGAUUGAAGCAAUAAUUUCAAGUUGAGAGCCAACUGCCAAGCUUCUCCUCAGCAACCUUCUCGGUUUGAUCCGCAGUUUAUUUAACUGCGGCUUCCUCUCGUAUGUGCCUGAGCUCUCUCUUUCCUCGUCUUUUCAAGCUCCUUCAAUAUUAAAUAUAGUCGUUGCGGUUAGAAAAGUUUAAAAAGUUUAUAAGGUGGUCGGUAAUACAUAACCCAAACUAUGAUGAAAGACCUAUACAAGUAUUGUGGGCUCUAUGGAAUGUGUCAAAGUAUAAGGUGUGGGUCCGACAAAACGUGUGGAUAAAAGGUGCCAAACAUGCAAUAAAUAUGAAAACCAACAUCCUGAAAAUUCGCACACACGUCAAACAAUAAUGACAUCUAAAUAAUUUGCCUCAAGAAGUCCAAGAACCAGGGCAAUGACAAAUUUUAGCAGCAAAUAAAUGGAAGGAAAAAAUGUAAUGCCUGAACUAGGGAGAAGAAACAAAAGUACAAAACCAUCAAGGAUGGCGAAGUAACAACAAAUUGGGAAGCGUACUCUUAAAUCAGGGAAUUUACAGUGACAUCAGAAAAUUAGAAAUAGAUGGUGUUGUCAGAGGAAACCAAACAAAGAGAUCCACCAAGGCCCUGUUUGGUGCACAUUAAUGUAAAAAUGAAAAUGUAAAAUAUAGUCGUUACAGGCUCCACACAAGAGAUAGAAAAUCAAAGGUCAUAUUUUUCAUUUUAAUAAACAAAUGAUGGAAAACGAAUGGGGGUUAAAUUUUGAGAAAAUGCAUCGCAUAACAAAAAACAAAAGAAUUGUCACAUGAAAUUUGAAGUAGGCAAGACUCAAUCUUAGGCAAAUGGCUAUAAAGAUAAUGAUCAACAAUUUAGCCCCCGUCUGAACCCCAUUUUUUGAGAAUAGAUUUCAUAAAGGGGAUUAUUAUUAUUAUUAUUAUUUUUUUAUUGAAGAAUGUACGGUUAAAGAGUGAGAAAAAAAUUAUAUGUAAAAUUAUUUUAUUAGAAGAAUAUAUAGUUGAAGCUCAAACAGGGGCUAAACAAGAGAACUCAUGUUAAUGUGACGAACUGCAAAUCCAAAGGUGAUUGAUUUGCACAACAGUGUGCACAGAAAUGGUAGCGAGUAAACUUGGCCUUAUAGUAGUAUAAUGGUUCCAUCCGACUUCCGAUGAGAGUCUACCCAACAAACAGAACCUAUGUCUAGCUUGGAGCCUCAGAAUCCUAAUCAUCAAACAGUAAGUAAGUUGAAAAGAUCCUAAUGCACCACAUUUUUAUAACAAAUAAAUAAAGAAAGACCAUGCCAUCAAACUCACUUGAGAGCAUCUGGAAUGACCAUCCUUUCAUCUUGUCAUACGGUGGGGGGGGGGGGGGGGACACCCUCAUAAACCUUCCAGCUGCUCCUCGUUUAGUCUUGUGGGGAAUCAUCCUGCCAAAACCGAUUUUGCCGAAUGAAUCUUUCCGUAUGUAUUCCAUUUAAUUUAUAGAAUACACAAGGAAAGUAAAUUUCUGUACAACCAAAUUAAAUCCCUAAUUCUAAGCAAGUUAUAUAUGGUAACUGCUGAUAGCACGAAAUCAUCUAAUACUAUUGGAAAUAAUUGAGUACUUCAGUUAAAAACAAGGAUUAUUCUAAACAAACAAGGGCCGUGACAGGCUCCUGUGACAGGGCGCCGAUUCACAAGGGCCCGUCGUGGCCCCUAUCAUAGUAGCAAAACCCUAAAAACAAUACAUUAACAAGAACGCAGGUAUUAUGAUUUAUCCCAAGAAGAUUUUGAAUUUUUUUUCUAUUCAUAUUAUAUUAUAAUAAAAUGUUCUCAGCAGCCUCAUCAAAUGGAACCUUGUUCCGCUCAGUGACAACUAUUAACUCAUUCGUGAGAAUAGAAAUUACUCAACACAAAAUUGAUGAAUUACUGAAAUUCAGAAAUAAUUAUGGUUUGAUAUUCUAAACAAACAAAAUUAAAUAAUUAAAUUACAUAUACCUGAUAAUAGCGCACAAUAUUCCAGUGGUCCAAACGUGCCAUUGCCCUAACCUUUGUGACAUUUAGUGUUACACGUCAAAAAGUCAAUAAAGAUGUUCUGAACAAAGAGCAGCUAAAUGUACACCCCACAAGAUACCUCAACCAGAGGAUAUAAAACAUGAAAUGCCAGAGGAUAUACCAUCACUUCUUUUUCGAGGACUCAAAUCUCAACUAUACUAAAAUAAAUAAUUAGAUAUUCAUAUUUUAGGCAUCCAAGCACCCUUCCAAUGAUAUCGUACAUGAAUAAAUAAUUUUCAAUCUUUCAGAUACUUUUGCCAUUUAACCUAUUGCUUCUUGUAAAAAAAGAAAAAAUAAAAUUUGAAAAAAUGAAUGGUACAAGGUAUUUACUUUUAAUUAAGAUAUAGAUAUUAUUGAUAUUCAAUUGAUAAAUAUCAAUAUUGAUGUGAUAGCUGAGGACUGUUCAGUAUUGUGGUGGAUAAUAAACAAAUUUUGACUCAAGCAAAUUUGAUUCAGCACCUCACCUAUAUGCAAAUUUAAAGACAAAAUUUUAGUGUUCAUCAUUAAAUGUAAUUUUCUUCACAGCGCAAAUUGCAUUUUCAACCUUAUGUCAACAUUCGAAAACGUGGCCAUGACAUCCUUCCUUGGAGAAAUAAAUAGAAUAACAUCCACACUGUCAGAGAACAGAAUUCAGGUAAUCAAACGCUAAAAGCUAAUCCUAAAAAUGAUAAAAGAAAGAAGUUCGUGAAUGUUAUGAAUUUGACUGCAAAUCAUUCUGCGGGUCAUGGCCAAGUUUCAAUAUUAACCAGAGUCAUUUACUCUUCAUCUUAAGGAUAGAAAGUUGCUGUUCAAAUUUUUUUGGUAUAUUUCAUCAUCGAUUUAUUUAUUGUGUUAGCCUUAGAAUUCAAAGAUGGAUCAAUGGAUUCAUAUUUCAUGGUUGGGGUUUCUUGCUCUGAAAUUAUGGAUUUGGUUUAGAUAGUGCAUGAAAUAUUGGAUUGCGUUUAAGAUCUCACAGUUAGUUGAGAUGUUGAUACAUAGAUACAAAUAUAUAUAAUAUAAACAUACGUAUAUAGCAAUAAUUUAGACCCUGCAGAGGCAAUUAUUGUUUAAGAUCUCUCUACCCACUUUUAUAUUUUAGACCCUGCGGAGGCAGAUAUUGUCUAUAUUCUAUAAGCAAUAUUAACUAUAUUCUAUAAGUAGUAUUAACUAAACUUACACCUCUGUCAUAAUAGAACUUCAUUCUCUUCAAAUGCAAAUAGAGCUUUAUUCACGGUGUAACUGACUACAGUUCUUUGCUAGGCUAUAAAAGUGAACCUGAGAGCUCAUUUUGCAUGAGACUAUAAUUGAAAUUGAAUUUUAAUUAUAUUGGAUUUUGCUGUCUACAAAUUCUUCUUCUCUCUCCCAUAUAUUUCUCUAUCUUUAUCUUCUGCUCUUUUUUCUCUCCAUUAUCUUCUCUCGUCUCUCUUGAUAAAGUUCUAUUCAAUUGGUAUUCGCUCCUCUGACCAAAUCUAAGUCAACGCUAUGUUUUCUGGUAGUCUUUGUCAAAAGAAAACAAAAAAAGAAUUAGUUUUCAGCAUUACUCAUUGAGCAAAAUAUAUUUAGAGUCCUGUUCAAAAAAAAGGUAAGUUUUUGUAGAUAAUUAAUUGAAGUUAACAUGCAAUCGGAACCACCACAACUUAAGAACCAGAGUCAAAAUAGAAAAUCACUAAAGUCCCAUUAUAUCACAUGUAUCAUUUUUACUGUCAUCAAGACAAACACCAUAUUUGUAAUAUCUAGAUUCUUAACAUCAUCAUAAUUCCAAGGUUUGUGAUUUAUCAUCACUAUGAAGUUAUGGUCAUCAUUUUCUGCUUCCAUUAUUGAUAUGCAGAGGAAAAUGAUCAUAUAAUUAUAUUUCUAUAGAGUUCACACAAGAAUUAAAACCAUCAUAUUAAAUAUAUAUGCUGGAAAAACUGUCAUGACCACUUAAUCUUCUUAGUCACAAUAUAUUCAUUUUUACAUAAGUUCGAAUUGCACAAGCAGAAUCAGUCUUUAUCCAAUAUCUAUCUCAAAAGGUGACUGAUUAGUGUUAGCACGCAGGACACUUUCUUAAGAUCUAAAAGCACCAAUACUUCACAUGAACAUGCAUCAAGCUUCAUUACUUUUCAGGUUAUGCAUCAAACCAGUAUCAAGUGCAAUAACCAAGUUCAAUCUAAACAACUCAAUCCAAAAACACCAAAACCAAGUCUUGAUCUCCCUAUAAUUGGUACCUUAGAAGUUGGCUCAAGCACUAAACCACCAUAAUUAUACUUCCAUAACCUUUGAAGUAAAUGUUCACAUAUUUCAAUUUUAAGGCACAUAAGAAUAAAGAUAACCAUAUGCAGCAUAAACAGAUAAUGAAGAAACAAAUCUUUUUAUUUAGAUUUUUGUUUUCAAAAUACUCAUGUUUACAAACUAAGGAAAAUACUAUUAUAAGUUUUUACCUCAUUAUUAAGAAAAUUUAUCAAACUGCACGGUUCAAAGAUCUCAUCCUCCUCUUGCAGGCAUCGCAUGCUAGAGGAUGGAGUGGAAACAGACAUAUGGUUUCCAUAUAUGUCCAUUUGAAAUUCCAAACUCACUUUUAUGUCGUCUCCACAAUCUAAUAUCCUGUGGUGGCACAAAAGAAUUUAUAACAAAAUACUACACAUAUGCUUUGCCGGCAAAGAGCUACUUAAUAUAUGUAGAAUUGUUAAUGGCUUUCAUCUAAAUGUUUUCUAUUAUACACACACGAUUUACAAUACAUAUUUCCACAUUUAUCAAUAUAAACACACAAAAAUAAACAGAAAUGCACAUACCAGAAUAAUAUACAAAGGUGUACUUGAUUUUUGCAGAAUUUUUGAUGACUAAAUUACAUAUUUUGUAAGUAUUAUGCCCUAGGUCCAAUCAACUUUGGACAUAAAUACUUUUAUAUAUAAUUAAUGCAAUUAAAUGGCAGAUCUAUUAUUUAAUUAAUAGACAAUUAAAUAAAUAAUAGAAUCCGUAGA